RNAcentral lists this long non-coding RNA (362 nucleotides) under Homo sapiens (human). RNAcentral's name for it is "non-protein coding lnc-QPCT-1:2". The record is from RNAcentral. Lineage: Eukaryota; Metazoa; Chordata; Mammalia; Primates; Hominidae.
GGAGUCGCGAGCGUGUCUAUCAGUUACACGCGGUACUUGAUCGCGCUGUUGCCGACGACGUUUUAGUCCAGCCCCAAAUUUUGCCUCUGAGCAAGAUUCCCAGGACCUCAUUGGAGCAGUUUACAGCCAGUCUUAUCUCACUAUUAACUUCCAUUUUCUGCUGUAGUACUUAAAGUGACAGAAGUUACUCUUCCUAGAAGUAACUUUUCCAGACGAUUCAAACUGCUGUUAUACAGAGAUUUAAGUAUUUGUGUGCAUGUGUGAAAACAGAGAUAUGUAAUGUAUAUAUUUCAUUUUAUUUCCACUGUUCUGCUUCUCUUUUUAAAAAUAAAGCGGUCUCCUCCACUUUGGGUAAAUCUUUC